This is a long non-coding RNA of Trachymyrmex septentrionalis, 176 nucleotides long. RefSeq lists it as uncharacterized. Lineage: Eukaryota; Metazoa; Arthropoda; Insecta; Hymenoptera; Formicidae. The transcript is spliced from 2 exons. The record is from RefSeq and is a predicted model, not a curated record.
AAUCUCUAUGGCCCCAAAGUUCUAGUAGUAACAUCAAUCUACGAGCAAAAUUUUCUCAAAUUUUGUACUUUCUAUAGCAGUAAUAUUGACGGAAAAAAGUAGCAAUUUUAUGAUUGAAUAAUAUUAAUAAUUACAUUUGCGAUUACUUGAACGUAAUAAAGCAGAACAUAUAUUAA